RNAcentral lists this ribosomal RNA (496 nucleotides) under uncultured bacterium. RNAcentral's name for it is "bacterial SSU rRNA". It matches the Rfam family "Bacterial small subunit ribosomal RNA", at positions 1 to 525 of the family's 1533-position model. The record is from RNAcentral.
UAUUAGAGUUUGAUCCUGGCUCAGCCUGAACGCUGGCGGCGUGGCUAAGACAUGCAAGUCGAACGGGUGUAGCAAUACACCAGUGGCGCACGGGUGAGUAAUGUAUCGCUAACGUGCCCCGGAGCCUGGGAUAGCUGUCCGAAAGGGCAGGUAAUACCAGAUGAGACCACGGAGAGGCAUCUCUCAGUGCUCAAAGCCGCAAGGCACUCUGGGAGCGGGCGAUAUCGUAUCAGCUAGUUGGCGGGGUAACGGCCCACCAAGGCUGCGACGCGUAGCUGGUCUGAGAGGACGGCCAGCCACAUCGGGACUGAGACACUGCCCGGACUCCUACGGGGGGCUGCAGUAACGAAUCUUCCGCAAUGCACGAAAGUGUGACGGAGCGACGCCGCGUGGAGGACGAAGUCCUUCGGGAUGUAAACUCCUGUCAGGGGUUACCAAGUUCUGAGGAACCCCAGAGGAAGGCACGGCUAACUCUGUGCCAGCAGCCGCGGUAGCC